CAGGAUGAACGCUGGCGGCGUGCCUAAUACAUGCAAGUCGAACGCACAGCGAAAGGUGCUUGCACCUUUCAAGUGAGUGGCGAACGGGUGAGUAACACGUGGACAACCUGCCUCAAGGCUGGGGAUAACAUUUGGAAACAGAUGCUAAUACCGAAUAAAACUUAGUGUCGCAUGACACAAAGUUAAAAGGCGCUUCGGCGUCACCUAGAGAUGGAUCCGCGGUGCAUUAGUUAGUUGGUGGGGUAAAGGCCUACCAAGACAAUGAUGCAUAGCCGAGUUGAGAGACUGAUCGGCCACAUUGGGACUGAGACACGGCCCAAACUCCUACGGGAGGCUGCAGUAGGGAAUCUUCCACAAUGGGCGAAAGCCUGAUGGAGCAACGCCGCGUGUGUGAUGAAGGCUUUCGGGUCGUAAAGCACUGUUGUAUGGGAAGAACAGCUAGAAUAGGAAAUGAUUUUAGUUUGACGGUACCAUACCAGAAAGGGACGGCUAAAUACGUGCCAGCAGCCGCGGUAAUACGUAUGUCCCGAGCGUUAUCCGGAUUUAUUGGGCGUAAAGCGAGCGCAGACGGUUUAUUAAGUCUGAUGUGAAAGCCCGGAGCUCAACUCCGGAAUGGCAUUGGAAACUGGUUAACUUGAGUGCAGUAGAGGUAAGUGGAACUCCAUGUGUAGCGGUGGAAUGCGUAGAUAUAUGGAAGAACACCAGUGGCGAAGGCGGCUUACUGGACUGCAACUGACGUUGAGGCUCGAAAGUGUGGGUAGCAAACAGGAUUAGA
Molecule: ribosomal RNA, 775 nt
Filed under: Leuconostoc mesenteroides
Lineage: Bacteria; Bacillati; Bacillota; Bacilli; Lactobacillales; Lactobacillaceae
Description: bacterial SSU rRNA
Rfam family: Bacterial small subunit ribosomal RNA
Source: RNAcentral